GAUGAACGCUGGCGGCGUGCCUAAUACAUGCAAGUCGAGCGAACGGACGAGAAGCUUUCUUCUCUGAUGUUAGCGGCGGACGGGUGAGUAACACGUGGAUAACCUACCUAUAAGACUGGGAUAACUUCGGGAAACCGGAGCUAAUACCGGAUAAUAUUUUGAACCGCAUGGUUCAAAAGUGAAAGACGGUCUUGCUGUCACUUAUACAUGGAUCCGCGCUGCAUUAGCUAGUUGGUAAGGUAACGGCUUACCAAGGCAACGAUGCAUAGCCGACCUGAGAGGGUGAUCGGCCACACUGGAACUGAGACACGGUCCAGACUCCUACGGGAGGCAGCAGUAGGGAAUAUUCCGCAAUGGGCGAAAGCCUGACGGAGCAACGCCGCGUGAGUGAUGAAGGUCUUCGGAUCGUAAAACUCUGUUAUUAGGGAAGAACAUAUGUGUAAGUAACUGUGCACAUCUUGACGGUACCUAAUCAGAAAGCCACGGCUAACUACGUG
This 497-nucleotide ribosomal RNA is filed under the name uncultured bacterium. RNAcentral describes it as "partial 16S ribosomal RNA". It matches the Rfam family "Bacterial small subunit ribosomal RNA", at positions 28 to 507 of the family's 1533-position model. The record is from RNAcentral.